AACGAACGCUGGCGGCAGGCUUAACACAUGCAAGUCGAGCGCAUCCUUAGGGGUGAGCGGCAGACGGGUGAGUAACGCGUGGGAACGUACCCUUUCCUACGGACUAGCUCCGGGAAACUGGAAUUAAUACCGUAUACGCCCUUAGGGGGCAAGAUUUAUCGGGGAAGGAUCGGCCCGCGUUGGAUUAGCUAGUUGGUGGGGGAAAGGCCUACCAAGGCGACGAUCCAUAGCUGGUCUGAGAGGAUGAUCAGCCACAUUGGGACUGAGACACGGACCAAACUCCGACGGGAGGCAGCAGUGGGGAAUAUUGGGCAAUGGGCGCAAGCCUGCUCCAGCCAUGCCGCGUGAGUGAUGAAGGCCUUAGGGUUGUAAAGCUCUUUCAGUAGGGAAGAUAAUGACGGUACCUACAGAAGAAGCCCCGGCUAUCUUCGUGCCAGCCGCCGCAGUAA
This 449-nucleotide ribosomal RNA is filed under the name uncultured bacterium. RNAcentral describes it as "partial 16S ribosomal RNA". It matches the Rfam family "Bacterial small subunit ribosomal RNA", at positions 29 to 523 of the family's 1533-position model. The record is from RNAcentral.